This is a long non-coding RNA of Biomphalaria glabrata, 964 nucleotides long. RefSeq lists it as uncharacterized. Lineage: Eukaryota; Metazoa; Mollusca; Gastropoda; Planorbidae. The record is from RefSeq and is a predicted model, not a curated record. The transcript has 3 exons.
UGGGUUGGUAGACAUAGUCACGUGAUUUGGGCACGGCAGACAUAUUGGUGGUAAAAAUCUGGUUUCUAUGCACAAUCAACAAACGCUUUCCCUUUUAGGCACUUACUGUGACUUACCAUGGAUGAGUCGAACAAAGAAAGAUAUAGUAAGAAAAUUUCAGAAAUAAAUAAUAUUAAUCCUUACACUUUAAAAGCAAGCCUGUGUAAUAAAGAAAACGAUUUGCUGCCCUCCUUGUGACUGUGUUAUCCAGAUCUCUUCACUUAUUAUCGUGUAACGUCUUGUUCUACCUGACUACUGGACUGACUGAAAGUGCCUGGCUUACACAAUCACAAAGGAUGAAUUCAAGGCUUACAAGACUUAAGCAGCCUACAACCAGUUCCUAGAUGGCUGGGUUCAAGAUGUUAUGGCUUAUAAACCACACAACUACCCAAAUACUGUUGUACUAGAAAAGGUUCUUCACUCUCAGCGGUUAGCAGAAAAGGUAUUGCAGCCCUGGAUAGUAAUAAGUCAAGAUGGUAUUAUUCUAUCAGCCCAAUGUUCUUGUAUAGCUGGACUUGGCGAGUCUGCACUCAUGUGGCAGCCACUUUAUUUAUGCUGGAAGCCAACACCAGAGUAAAAGAGAGUAAUAAAGACAGUUACAGGAGUGUCAUCUUACUGGACGAAUCCAUCAAAGCUUAAAAAACUUUUGUCAACUAAGGUUUCUCAGAUUGAUUUCACCUCAUCAAAAACAAAAAAAAAAGUUAAAUUUGAUUCUCUUGUGGACAACAUCGCUUCUAAAAAUAUAAAUUCAAAGGCUAUUAAAUCCAGAGAAACUAUAAAGCUUAGUAUACAUUCUUUUAAUUCAUUUAUUGAAAGUAAUGAGAUAACACCUUGAGGUGUUAUUCCAAUCAGAUAUUUUACUGUGUUGUUGAAAGAAUAAGUUUGUGCCUGUGCUUUAAUGCUGCUAGGUCUCUCAAUGAAAAUU